AAACAGACUCUAUCAUGAUGAGAUUCGCAUUAGAACCGGAAUUUUUAAUAGGAAGAGCCGGAAGAGGUAUGGCAGAGGCUGAAAGCCCUGUCGUCGAUGCUUAUAAUGGUUCUCCUGAGUAGAGUCUUUGG
Molecule: small nucleolar RNA, 131 nt
Organism: Penicillium flavigenum
Lineage: Eukaryota; Fungi; Ascomycota; Eurotiomycetes; Eurotiales; Aspergillaceae
Rfam family: A. fumigatus snoRNA Afu_198
Source: Rfam